ACACUGUAAAUAGAGUGGUGAUCAAUAAGAAAUGUGUUUCAGUAACAGAUUACAGGUCAAGAAAUAUUUCUAGAUCCUUUCACUGCCUUCUGGGAGCAGAGAGCAAGAGACUGAAAGAGCUAUGCAUCAAGUAUUAAGACCUAAGAGGAUAUCACUGCCGUCAGAACCAAUAACAGAAGAUCUGAAAGGGCCACUUACAGGAAGAAAAGAUCCUGCCAGAGCUUUUGGUUUCCACUGUGAUUUCUGAGACUUUGGAAAAUGAAAGAAGUUUCCAUUCCCCUAAACCUGUGGUCACCCAGUGUUCCAGCAGAGACUCACAUGACUGAGACUAACCCAAGUCGCGAGAUUCACGCACAACCAAACUCCCCUGCAAGUCACCAGGAUCCUUUAGAAGCUACAAAACCAGGUUGGAGGUCAUGAAGGAUGGGAGCCUAGCCUGCCACGGUAUCCAAUAAAGCUGGUUUUCAGUCUUUG
This 474-nucleotide long non-coding RNA is filed under the name Chinchilla lanigera (long-tailed chinchilla). RNAcentral describes it as "lncRNA (ENSCLAG00000027440.1)". The record is from RNAcentral. Lineage: Eukaryota; Metazoa; Chordata; Mammalia; Rodentia; Chinchillidae.